GAUGUGGUAAUGAGAUUUUUGAGGUGUCCCAUAAUGCCCAUCCUGACUACUCUGGUCAGCAGUUUGAACUCAACUGCCCUGCAGCCAGAUUAA
Non-coding RNA from Chelonoidis abingdonii (Abingdon island giant tortoise), 93 nucleotides. The record is from RefSeq and is a predicted model, not a curated record. NCBI's taxonomy places the organism in Eukaryota, Metazoa, Chordata, Testudines, Testudinidae.